UGGGGAAUUUUGGACAAUGGGCGCAAGCCUGAUCCAGCCAUGCCGCGUGCGGGAAGAAGGCCUUCGGGUUGUAAACCGCUUUUGUCAGGGAAGAAACGGUCUGGGUUAAUACCUCGGACUAAUGACGGUACCUGAAGAAUAAGCACCGGCUAACUACGUGCCAGCAGCCGCGGUAAUACGUAGGGUGUAAGCGUUAAUCGGAAUUACUGGGCGUAAAGCGUGCGCAGGCGGCUUUGCAAGACAGAUGUGAAAUCCCCGGGCUCAACCUGGGAACUGCAUUUGUGACUGCAUCGCUAGAGUGCGGCAGAGGGGGAUGGAAUUCCGCGUGUAGCAGUGAAAUGCGUAGAUAUGCGGAGGAACACCGAUGGCGAAGGCAAUCCCCUGGGCCUGCACUGACGCUCAGGCACGAAAGCGUGGGGAGCAA
This 424-nucleotide ribosomal RNA is filed under the name uncultured bacterium. Its description in RNAcentral is "bacterial SSU rRNA". It matches the Rfam family "Bacterial small subunit ribosomal RNA", at positions 355 to 771 of the family's 1533-position model. The record is from RNAcentral.